This 253-nucleotide ribosomal RNA is filed under the name uncultured bacterium. RNAcentral describes it as "partial 16S ribosomal RNA". It matches the Rfam family "Bacterial small subunit ribosomal RNA", at positions 524 to 776 of the family's 1533-position model. The record is from RNAcentral.
UACAGAGGGUGCGAGCGUUAAUCGGAAUUACUGGGCGUAAAGCGUGCGUAGGUGGUUUAAUAAGUCAGAUGUGAAAUCCCCGGGCUCAACCUGGGAACUGCAUUUGAAACUAUUAGGCUAGAGUACGGUAGAGGGAAGUGGAAUUUCCAGUGUAGCGGUGAAAUGCGUAGAUAUCGGAAGGAACAUCAGUGGCGAAGGCGACUUCCUGGACCGCAACUGACACUGAGGCACGAAAGCGUGGGGAGCAAACAGG